RNAcentral lists this ribosomal RNA (110 nucleotides) under Pogona vitticeps (central bearded dragon). The record is from RNAcentral. Lineage: Eukaryota; Metazoa; Chordata; Lepidosauria; Squamata; Agamidae.
CACUAUGGGGAGCCCAUAAACAUAACUGAUCUCAUUGGAUCUUAGAAGACAAGCAGAGCUGGGCCUACUUAGUACUUGGAGGGAGACAACCAGGAAUCUCCAGCCAGUGC